Molecule: ribosomal RNA, 987 nt
Filed under: Candidatus Wildermuthbacteria bacterium RIFCSPLOWO2_01_FULL_48_16
Lineage: Bacteria; Candidatus Wildermuthiibacteriota
Description: bacterial SSU rRNA
Rfam family: Bacterial small subunit ribosomal RNA (bases 1-858)
Source: RNAcentral
CAGCAGUAGCGGUGAAACAGAGCCCCCGAGCGUUAUCCGGAUUUACUGGGCGUAAAGCGUCCGUAGCCGGUCUGGAAAGUCUCGGGUUAAAUACCAAGGACUCAAUCUUUGGGAUGCCCGAGAAACUGAUAGACUAGAGGGUGUUAGAGGCUGAUGGAACUCUUAGUGGAGGGGUGAAAUCCGCUGAUAUUAAGAGGAACACCAAAGGCGAAGGCAUUCAGCUAGAGCAACCCUGACGGUGAGGGACGAAAGCGUGGGUAGGGAAAAGGAUUAGAUACCCUUGUACUCCACGCCCUAAACUUUGGAUGCUAGCUAUGUGAAGUGUCGACCCUUCACGUGGCGUAGGUAACCCGUUAAGCAUCCCGCCUGGGAAGUACGGUCGCAAGACUAAAACUCAAAGGAAUAGGCGGGGACCCACACAAGCGGUGGAACAUGUGGCUCAAUUCGUCAACAACCGAGGAACCUUACCAGGGUUUGAAACUCAGUCGAAGAGCACCAGAAACGGUGCUCGUCUCACAAGGACGGCUGAGCAGGUGCUGCACGGCUGUGAAAACGGCCAUUGUCGUCGCAAGGCGACAACAAAAAAACCAGCUCAAAACGGUGAAGCCCAAACUCUUUCGUGGUAACAUGAAGGAAUGGGUAAUACCGUGGGAAGUACGAGUGCUAAUCUAUGUAACUUCUUUGAAGACCAGAAAGAUGCAUAUAUCUUAGGUCUUUGGUGCGCAGAUUCUUACUGGUGGUCAAGUUCAAUCGGAUUGAGCAAUACCAAUAGGGAAUUGAUCGAAAAGUUUCGUUCAUUUCUCAUUGGAAAGGGGUUCCCAGAAGAUCGAAUUCGAUACAAUCGAGAUCAUCUCUUUGUGAAUAGUCGUCCAUUGCUUCGAGAGUUUGUUGCCGGCAAGAAGAUGCUCGAGAAAAUGGAUAAGGAAAAAACUAUCUGGCCAUAUCUGGCAGGAAGAUUUGAUGGAGAUGGAUGUAUUGAUGGAGAUU